GCCAGACUCCUACGGGAGGCAGCAGUGAGGGAUAUUGGUCAAUGGGGGAAACCCUGAACCAGCAACGCCGCGUGAGGGAAGACGGUUUUCGGAUUGUAAACCUCUGUCCUCUGUGAAGAUAAUGACGGUAGCAGAGGAGGAAGCUCCGGCUAACUACGUGCCAGCAGCCGCGGUAAUACGUAGGGAGCAAGCGUUGUCCGGAUUUACUGGGUUUAAAGGGUGCGCAGGCGGAGGCACAAGUCAGCGGUAAAAUCGCGGGGCUCACCCCCGCUCCGCCGUUGAAACUGUGUCCCUUGAGUGCGCGAAGGGUAGGCGGAAUGCGUGGUGUAGCGGUGAAAUGCAUAGAUAUCACGCAGAACUCCGAUUGCGAAGGCAGCAUACCGGCGCUCAACUGACGCUCAUGCACGAAAGUGUGGGUAUCGAACAGGAUUAGAUACCCUUGUA
This 444-nucleotide ribosomal RNA is filed under the name uncultured bacterium. Its description in RNAcentral is "bacterial SSU rRNA". It matches the Rfam family "Bacterial small subunit ribosomal RNA", at positions 330 to 792 of the family's 1533-position model. The record is from RNAcentral.